AUUUAACAGGGGUGCCGAAAGGCUGAGACGCGUAAGCGAACCCUCGAACCUGAUUCGGGUCAUACCGGCGUAGGAAGUUAA
Molecule: non-coding RNA, 81 nt
Filed under: bovine gut metagenome
Source: RNAcentral